Molecule: ribosomal RNA, 636 nt
Filed under: uncultured bacterium
Lineage: Bacteria
Description: bacterial SSU rRNA
Rfam family: Bacterial small subunit ribosomal RNA
Source: RNAcentral
UGCAAGUCGAGCGCCUCGCAAGAGGAGCGGCAGAACGGGUGAGUAACGCGUGGGAAUCUACCUGGAACUACGGAACAACAGUUGGAAACGACUGCUAAUACCGUAUACGCCCUACGGGGGAAAGAUUUAUCGGUUUCAGAAUGAGCCCGCGUAAGAAUUAGCUAGUUGGUGGGGUAAUGGCCUACCAAGGCGACGAUCUUUAGCUGGUCUGAGAGGAUGAUCAGCCACACUGGGACUGAGACACGGCCCAGACUCCUACGGGAGGCAGCAGUGGGGAAUAUUGGACAAUGGGCGCAAGCCUGAUCCAGCCAUGCCGCGUGAGUGAUGAAGGCCUUAGGGUUGUAAAGCUCUUUCAGUGGGGAAGAUAAUGACGGUACCCACAGAAGAAGCCCCGGCUAACUUCGUGCCAGCAGCCGCGGUAAUACGAAGGGGGCUAGCGUUGUUCGGAUUUACCGGGCGUAAAGCGCACGUAGGCGGUUUGUUAAGUCAGGGGUGAAAUCCCAGAGCUCAACUCUGGAACUGCCUUUGAUACUGGCAAGCUAGAGUCCGGAAGAAGUAAGUGGAACUCCUAGUGUAGAGGUGGAAUUCGUAGAUAUUAGGAAGAACACCAGUGGCGAAGGCGGCUUACUGGUCCGG